RNAcentral lists this small RNA (120 nucleotides) under Arabidopsis thaliana (thale cress). RNAcentral's name for it is "ATSL218310". Lineage: Eukaryota; Viridiplantae; Streptophyta; Magnoliopsida; Brassicales; Brassicaceae. The record is from RNAcentral.
AUUGAAAAUAUGAGAUUUCCAUGGGAUAUUGCACAAAAGCUAAAUUGCAAUUCAUAAGAUUAAUAAAAAUCUUUAUGUACAAUGUAUCACACCAUUUCUGUCAGUUUUAAAAUAUUAGUU